Molecule: ribosomal RNA, 459 nt
Filed under: uncultured bacterium
Lineage: Bacteria
Description: bacterial SSU rRNA
Rfam family: Bacterial small subunit ribosomal RNA
Source: RNAcentral
AACGAACGCUGGCGGCAUGCCUAACACAUGCAAGUCGAACGAAGGCUUCGGCCUUAGUGGCGCACGGGUGCGUAACGCGUGGGAACCUGCCCCUCGGUUCGGAAUAACAGUUAGAAAUGACUGCUAAUACCGGAUGAUGACUUCGGUCCAAAGAUUUAUCGCCGAGGGAUGGGCCCGCGUAGGAUUAGCUAGUUGGUGGGGUAAAGGCCUACCAAGGCGACGAUCCUUAGCUGGUCUGAGAGGAUGAUCAGCCACACUGGGACUGAGACACGGCCCAGACUCCUACGGGAGGCAGCAGUGGGGAAUAUUGGACAAUGGGCGAAAGCCUGAUCCAGCAAUGCCGCGUGAGUGAUGAAGGCCUUAGGGUUGUAAAGCUCUUUUACCAGGGAUGAUAAUGACAGUACCUGGAGAAUAAGCUCCGGCUAACUCCGUGCCAGCAGCCGCGGUAAUGGUAGACGU